Molecule: long non-coding RNA, 683 nt
Organism: Callithrix jacchus (white-tufted-ear marmoset)
Lineage: Eukaryota; Metazoa; Chordata; Mammalia; Primates; Cebidae
Source: RefSeq, a predicted model, not a curated record
UGCGAGCACCAACCGCCGGCCGCCCCGCGCUGCGUCGCCCCGCCCCCUCGCCCCCGGCGCUUGCCCGCCGGGCGCCCUCUAGGCUGGGGGGCUGCGGGCGCCCUACCGGUGCCAGCACGGCCAGAGCGGGAGGAGUGCGGCGCGGGCUUGUCCGGACUGCUGGACAGCGGGGUCCAGUCUAGAGGGAGCGGUCAGUGACGGCUGUGGAGGAGGAAGGUCCUGGGCGGCGGCGCGGAAGCCGAGCCUCUGGACCACUGAGCUGGAGGCUGGCCAAGGUGGGGGCUCCCCCACUGAGGGCGCGCCUCAGGGAGAGGACAGGGGCCGGCGGGACCCUGCUUUGUUUCAGUCGCACUGAGGUCCACCUCCUAGCAAAUGAUUGCAAGGAAUAUGAGAAAAAUGGAGUUUCAUUCUUGUCACCCAGGCUGGAGUGCAAUCGCACAAUCUUGGCUCACUGCAACCUCCGCCUCCCAGCCAUCACUGGGGCUUCUCUGCCAUAAGGGAGAUAAAAGGACAUGGAGAGGAAUGGCUUUGGAGUCCAACAGGCUAUUGUUCUGGUUCAUCUUGCAUGUUUGCUUUAAACCACAAACGGCUACUGCACAGUUCUUAUGUGUUCCAAGGAAAAUUGUCUUUUAGGCUACGAAAGAUUCAAAAAAAUUGUUUUCAGUACAAAAAGUCUUGUUAAG